This 73-nucleotide transfer RNA is filed under the name Umboniibacter marinipuniceus. It matches the Rfam family "tRNA". Rfam says of the family: Transfer RNA (tRNA) molecules are approximately 80 nucleotides in length. Their secondary structure includes four short double-helical elements and three loops (D, anti-codon, and T loops). The record is from Rfam by way of RNAcentral. RNAcentral also lists the same sequence under 5 other names. Lineage: Bacteria; Pseudomonadati; Pseudomonadota; Gammaproteobacteria; Cellvibrionales; Cellvibrionaceae.
GUCCCCAUCGUCUAGAGGCCUAGGACACCGCCCUUUCACGGCGGUAACAGGGGUUCGACUCCCCUUGGGGACG